Molecule: transfer RNA, 93 nt
Filed under: Phytohabitans maris
Lineage: Bacteria; Bacillati; Actinomycetota; Actinomycetes; Micromonosporales; Micromonosporaceae
Description: tRNA-Sec
Rfam family: Selenocysteine transfer RNA
Source: RNAcentral
GGAGGCGUUCGGGUAGCUGGUGCUCCCCGCGGUCUUCAAAACCGUAGUGACCGAGGACCUCGGUCAGGCGGGUUCGAUUCCCGUCCGCCUCCG